AAGUCGUAACAAGGUUUCCGUAGGUGAACCUGCGGAAGGAUCAAUACGAAGAGUGAGAGAGAGGAGGGGAUUUGUUGAAAUACUAGAAGAACUUUUGACAUUUUACACACACAACAACACACAACUCAUAACAAUGGAUCUCUGGGCUCUU
This 151-nucleotide unclassified non-coding RNA is filed under the name fungal sp. RNAcentral's name for it is "partial internal transcribed spacer region". The stretch from base 1 to 46 matches the Rfam family "Eukaryotic small subunit ribosomal RNA", at positions 1786 to 1831 of the family's 1831-position model. The record is from RNAcentral. Lineage: Eukaryota; Fungi.